GAGAGUGUAGUUCAGUGGUACAGUGUGUGCCUAUUGUGUACAAGGCCCUAGGUUCAAAUCCUAACACCAUCC
RNAcentral lists this transfer RNA (72 nucleotides) under Heterocephalus glaber (naked mole-rat). It matches the Rfam family "tRNA". From Rfam's summary of the family: Transfer RNA (tRNA) molecules are approximately 80 nucleotides in length. The record is from Rfam by way of RNAcentral. Lineage: Eukaryota; Metazoa; Chordata; Mammalia; Rodentia; Bathyergidae.